GAGGGCGGGCCCCUCGGAGCCGCUGUGCAGGCGGAGGCUUCAA
Molecule: non-coding RNA, 43 nt
Filed under: Fontibacillus panacisegetis
Lineage: Bacteria; Bacillati; Bacillota; Bacilli; Caryophanales; Paenibacillaceae
Source: RNAcentral